Molecule: ribosomal RNA, 253 nt
Filed under: uncultured bacterium
Lineage: Bacteria
Description: partial 16S ribosomal RNA
Rfam family: Bacterial small subunit ribosomal RNA
Source: RNAcentral
UACGUAGGUGGCAAGCGUUGUCCGGAUUUAUUGGGCGUAAAGAGCUCGUAGGCGGCUCGUUGCGUCGGCUGUGAAAACCCGCAGCUCAACUGUGGGCUUGCAGCUGAUACGGGCGGGCUGGAGUUCGGUAGGGGAGACUGGAAUUCCUGGUGUAGCGGUGAAAUGCGCAGAUAUCAGGAAGAACACCCGUGGCGAAGGCGGCUCUCUGGGACGGUACUGACGCUGAGACGCGAAAGCGUGGGGAGCGAACAGG